RNAcentral lists this long non-coding RNA (468 nucleotides) under Homo sapiens (human). Its description in RNAcentral is "HSALNT0319879". The record is from RNAcentral. Lineage: Eukaryota; Metazoa; Chordata; Mammalia; Primates; Hominidae.
CCUAGGCUGAAAUAACCAGCACUACUUGCCAAACACUUUAGAAAGAUUAUGUUUCUUCUCCAUUACAGAAGUGGAACAUAUGGUUCAGAUUCUCCUCAUUAAACUACCUGCCCUCUGUAAUGUAGCUCUUCUGUGCUGCAGAAAUUGAUACUACACAAGAAAAGAAAUGAUGGGAGAAUAGUGAAGAAGAGAAGAACUGGCCAGGUUUCUUUCAUGUCAGAUGGAUUGGAAUGGGACAAGGCACUUUUCAGAUUCAGCUAUGGGGGAAACAAAAGACAGAAGACAAAAGUUCUCACUUCUCAAAGAGCUAAGUUUCUUUAUAAUCUCUUUAUGCUCCAAGAUGUGUGUGUGUUGUGGGGUGGGAGGGGCGGUAUUGUCUCUUUAAUUAAAUACUUUACCAGGUACUUUUUUCCAAGUACUCACAGUUCUAUCUUAAUCAAGUAUCCAAAUCUCUUCUGAAAACUUCAA